RNAcentral lists this transfer RNA (363 nucleotides) under uncultured Microcystis sp. RNAcentral's name for it is "partial miscellaneous RNA". The stretch from base 135 to 208 matches the Rfam family "tRNA". Lineage: Bacteria; Bacillati; Cyanobacteriota; Cyanophyceae; Chroococcales; Microcystaceae. The record is from RNAcentral.
AAGGGAGACCUAAUUCAGGUAUGGGACGAAAAAAAAGUAGUCGCUACCAAGAAUCAAUCCCAAAAGGUCGGAGCGAGGCGAAAUUGGCUUUCAAACUAGGUUCUGGGUUCACACAAGACCUGAAUCAGGGACAAGGGCUAUUAGCUCAGGUGGUUAGAGCGCACCCCUGAUAAGGGUGAGGUCCCUGGUUCGAGUCCAGGAGGGCCCACCUGCACAGGUGGCAAAAACAAAGAAAAAAAGCUCCGAAUCAGCACCUUAUCUUACUUAUACAGUAAGAGAGAAUGCUGGCUCUGAGUUCAGAGUUCAGAGGAACCUUGAAAACUGCAUAGAGCUAGGUGAAAAAGCCAAAAAAGAAGACCGCAA